GUUAUAUGGUCAAGUGAAUAAGCGCAUACGGUGGAUGCCUUGGCGGCAGGAGGCGAUGAAGGACGUUGUAGCUUGCGAUAAGCCUCGGGGAGUCAGCAAACAGACUUUGAUCCGGGGAUUUCCGAAUGGGGAAACCCACCGCUUCGGCGGUAUCUGCACCUGAAUANNCAGGCUUUGACCCGGGGAUUUCCGAAUGGGGAAACCCACCUGUUUGAGGUAUCCCUGUCUGAAUACAUAGGGCAGUGGAGGCGAACCCGGGGAACUGAAACAUCUAAGUACCCGGAGGAAAAGAAAUCAACCGAGAUUCCCUUAGUAGCGGCGAGCGAACGGGGAUUAGCCCUUAAGCUUUUUUUGGUUUAGCGGAACGCUCUGGAAAGUGCGGCCAUAGUGGGUGAUAGCCCCGUACGCGAAAGGCCAAUUUAAGUGAAAUCGAGUAGGGCGGGACACGUGUUAUCCUGUCUGAAUAUGGGGGGACCAUCCUCCAAGG
RNAcentral lists this ribosomal RNA (487 nucleotides) under Gammaproteobacteria bacterium. RNAcentral's name for it is "partial 23S ribosomal RNA". It matches the Rfam family "Bacterial large subunit ribosomal RNA", at positions 1 to 465 of the family's 2925-position model. The record is from RNAcentral. Lineage: Bacteria; Pseudomonadati; Pseudomonadota; Gammaproteobacteria. RNAcentral also lists the same sequence under 1 other name.